UAGGGAAUAUUGGGCAAUGGCCGAGAGGCUGACCCAGCCAUGCCGCGUGCAGGAAGAAGGCCUUCUGGGUUGUAAACUGCUUUUAUCUAGGAAGAAAACGCCCCUGCGGGGGUAACUGACGGUACUAGAUGAAUAAGCACCGGCUAACUCCGUGCCAGCAGCCGCGGUAAUACGGAGGGUGCAAGCGUUGUCCGGAUUUAUUGGGUUUAAAGGGUGCGUAGGCGGCCAGUUAAGUCAGCGGUGAAAUCCCAGGGCUCAACCCUGGAACUGACGUUGAUACUGGCGGGCUUGAGGUCGGUCGAGGCGGGCGGAACUGGUGGUGUAGCGGGGAAAUGCUUAGAUACCACCAAGAACCCCGAUUGCGUAGGCAGCUCGCUGGGCCGAAACUGACGCUGAGGCACGAAAGCGUGGGGAGCGAACAGG
Molecule: ribosomal RNA, 423 nt
Filed under: bacterium
Lineage: Bacteria
Description: partial 16S ribosomal RNA
Rfam family: Bacterial small subunit ribosomal RNA
Source: RNAcentral